GUACGUCUAUACUACCCGCCGGAUUGGCUAGUAGUGUUCGAUGUAUCGGGGAUCGAUUUAUCACGUCUCAUCUGGACCUGAAAUCGAUCCCCAAAUCGACACCCGUACUCCACGUCGGCAGGAGGAGUAAGCAGAGUCGACAGGGGAGCCGCGGCAGUCGACUCGCUGCCAUGAGGACAGCCAGGGGCAGAGGUGGAGUUUCUUACCCGCACAGAUAUUUUUACGACCUCAGUUAUGUGCUUUUUUAGAUCUUGAAAUGACUCAUCUUAACUGUGGCUGGAUUGACUUUGAGCAUUUGAGCAAUUUCUUCUGGACUGACCCAAGGGCUCUGUCCAGGCAGAAGUCAGGUCUGUCCUAAACAAAGGAAGGAAUGUGUGCUUGCCUUAAUUUGCAUUUAAGCAGUAAAGAGUCCUCAAGCAGGAAAGGAAAACAAAGGAAGUUCAAACAGGUGGAAAAAACAGCAGAGGGUCUCAGAUGGAAAUUGUUUCAAGAGGGGGGACUGAAACUAUAAUAAGGAGGGAACAACACCCCAAAGCACCCCUCUCUCUCCCUCCCUCCACCUCAUUCUCUAUACCUGAGAAGACAAAAGGAAAUGCACAGAGCCAUUGGACUCUGUGGGAGGGCUCCUGGCCUGAGAGUUUCAUCAGUAAUCUGCUGGAGCAUGU
Long non-coding RNA from Mauremys reevesii (Reeves's turtle), 665 nucleotides. RefSeq lists it as uncharacterized. The record is from RefSeq and is a predicted model, not a curated record. Lineage: Eukaryota; Metazoa; Chordata; Testudines; Geoemydidae. The transcript has 3 exons.